GUACACUCCUACGGGAGGCAGCAGUGGGGAAUUUUGGACAAUGGGCGAAAGCCUGAUCCAGCAAUGCCGCGUGUGUGAAGAAGGCCUUCGGGUUGUAAAGCACUUUUGUCCGGAAAGAAAUCCUUGGCUCUAAUACAGUCGGGGGAUGACGGUACCGGAAGAAUAAGCACCGGCUAACUACGUGCCAGCAGCCGCGGUAAUACGUAGGGUGCGAGCGUUAAUCGGAAUUACUGGGCGUAAAGCGUGCGCAGGCGGUUUGCUAAGACCGAUGUGAAAUCCCCGGGCUCAACCUGGGAACUGCAGUGGUGACUGGCAGGCUAGAGGAUGGCAGAGGGGGGUAGAAUUCCACGUGUAGCAGUGAAAUGCGUAGAGAUGUGGAGGAAUACCGAUGGCGAAGGCAGCCCCCUGGGCCAAUACUGACGCUCAUGCACGAAAGCGUGGGGAGCAAACAGGAUUAGAAACCCGGGUAGUCCCAUG
Molecule: ribosomal RNA, 477 nt
Filed under: uncultured organism
Description: partial 16S ribosomal RNA
Rfam family: Bacterial small subunit ribosomal RNA
Source: RNAcentral